This is a non-coding RNA of Malus domestica (apple), 919 nucleotides long. The record is from RefSeq and is a predicted model, not a curated record. NCBI's taxonomy places the organism in Eukaryota, Viridiplantae, Streptophyta, Magnoliopsida, Rosales, Rosaceae.
AGAGGAGGAGCGAGGAGUUCCAAAAGAUUCUGGAGGUUUCGAAGGAGGAAAGGGACCGGGUUCAGCGAAUGCAGGUUGUUGAUCGAGCUGCGGCCGCGAUCGCGGCUGCUCGCGCCAUUUUGGAGGACAAGAAUAAUAAGUUGAGGACUGAGGCGGGGGAUCGCGGAGGUUCCGGUGGUGGGAGUGGCGGGGGGUGGUGACGGAACAAUUGGGGCUCGUCAAGAAGGGGCUGGGAAUGUGCAAAUGUGAAUGAGUGAAUCUACUAGGGCUAGGACAGAAUUUGAAUCUGUGCAAAUGUGAAUGAGUGAAGCAGGAGUUUGGUUUUAUAUAGAUCGAGCAUACAUUCUUUAAGGAGCAAGACUGAGCUAACUAUUAUGUGGAUUUCAUUUUUAGAUGUUGGAGGACGAUGUAAUAUUGUUAUUUUGAAUGUAUUGUUAAAACUUAAUUUAUGAACUUGGAUAUUAGACUUUGUAUUUAGAUUAGAUGUGAAUAAUGGUGAAUUUGUGCAAAAUCUGCAUAAAUGCAGUGUCACUGUGAUUGUGCAGCUGCAAAUUGCAAUCUGUGCAGUUUGCAAACUGUGCAGUUAAAAAAAAAAAAAAAAGGGUACCCGUGGACCCGGCUCAAACCGGCCCGUUUUAACCGGGCCGGGUAAUGUCCGGUUCCUAUACAAGAAAAUCCAAUCCCCGCCCCGUCCCGGCCCGUUUCGGGUAAUGUCAGGUUCCUACAAACUUAGGUUCGGCCCGGCUCGGCCCGGCCCGUGCCCAGCCCUAUUGUUUACCAGCAGAAAGAGGAGUGGAAGUGACAGACGGAGUAGUUGAGGCUCCAAAUUCUAUUGUCUUUCCCCCAGCGGAGAAUCGAAUGCACGCACAGAACGCUAUCAUGCUUCAUCUGCUCGGAGUUUGAUUACAUAUGAUAUCCC